RNAcentral lists this ribosomal RNA (270 nucleotides) under Triticum aestivum (bread wheat). RNAcentral describes it as "partial small subunit ribosomal RNA". The record is from RNAcentral. Lineage: Eukaryota; Viridiplantae; Streptophyta; Magnoliopsida; Poales; Poaceae.
AUGUCGUGGUCGUCCAGUGCCGGGUCCGCUCCCAGAUUUCGUCGAGCUGCAGGAAGGAGGAGGGAGGAGUCGCGCUCGCCGGUGCGCUACCGCAAGAACCCAAUGGCAUACGAGCCUUCGGUGAUGUGCCACUGCUCAACUCCGAGGAAGGCGCCAAGAUGGAUCUCCUGGAGCAGGCAGAACCCUGGUAGGAGGUACUACAGCUGCGUGGAUGCUAUGGUGAGUGCUGUUUUUUUCCCUAAUUUUCUUCCUCUUUCUUCUGUGCAAUAA